This 245-nucleotide ribosomal RNA is filed under the name uncultured bacterium. RNAcentral describes it as "partial 16S ribosomal RNA". It matches the Rfam family "Bacterial small subunit ribosomal RNA", at positions 109 to 354 of the family's 1533-position model. The record is from RNAcentral.
AGUAACGCGUGAGGAACCUGCCUCAGAGAGGGGGAUAACACACCGAAAGGUGUGCUAAUACCGCAUAACAUAUGAGAGGGGCAUCCCUUUCAUAUCAAAGAUUUAUUGCUCUGAGAUGGCCUCGCGUCCAAUUAGCUAGUUGGUGAGGUAACGGCCCACCAAGGCGACGAUUGGUAGCCGGACUGAGAGGUUGAACGGCCACAUUGGGACUGAGACACGGCCCAGACUCCUACGGGAGGCAGCAG